RNAcentral lists this ribosomal RNA (515 nucleotides) under uncultured bacterium. RNAcentral describes it as "partial 16S ribosomal RNA". It matches the Rfam family "Bacterial small subunit ribosomal RNA", at positions 28 to 523 of the family's 1533-position model. The record is from RNAcentral.
GAUGAACGCUGGCGGCGUGCCUAAUACAUGCAAGUCGAGCGAAUGGAUUAAGAGCUUGCUCUUAUGAAGUUAGCGGCGGACGGGUGAGUAACACGUGGGUAACCUGCCCAUAAGACUGGGAUAACUCCGGGAAACCGGGGCUAAUACCGGAUAACAUUUUGAACCGCAUGGUUCGAAAUUGAAAGGCGGCUUCGGCUGUCACUUAUGGAUGGACCCGCGUCGCAUUAGCUAGGUGGUGAGGUAACGGCGCACCAAGGCAACGAUGCGUAGACGACCUGAGGGGGCGAUCGGCCACACUGGGACUGAGACACGGCCCAGACUCCUACGGGAGGGAGCAGUAGGGAAUCUGCCGAAAUGGACGAAAGGCUGACGGAGCAACGCCGCGUGAGUGAUGAAGGCUUUCGGGUCGUAAAACUCUGUUGUGAGGGAAGAACAAGUGCUAGUUGAAUAAGCUGACACCUUGACGGUACCUAACCAGAAAGCCACGGCUAACUACGUGUCAGCAGCCGCAGUAA